RNAcentral lists this ribosomal RNA (848 nucleotides) under Vitrumanthus oligomyarius. RNAcentral describes it as "partial large subunit ribosomal RNA". It matches the Rfam family "Bacterial large subunit ribosomal RNA", at positions 1765 to 2591 of the family's 2925-position model. The record is from RNAcentral. Lineage: Eukaryota; Metazoa; Cnidaria; Anthozoa; Zoantharia; Parazoanthidae.
AUACUUUCUAUUUUUCAUAUAUAGUGCCUCGAAACUGUUUACCAAAAACAUAGCCCUCGGCCAAUAUGAAAAUAGAAGUAUGGAGGGUGAGGCCUGCCCAAUGGUUGUAUCUAAAAGCGGGUGAUAAAAGUCGACCGCGUAAGGACAAUUGAAUGGCCGCGGUAACACUGACCGUGAUAAUGUAGCGUAAUCAAUAGCCAAUUAAUUGUUGGCCAGUAUGAAUGGCGCCACGAAGGCCCCACUGUCUUAAGGAAAUUCCCAGUGAAAUUGAAUUCGUAGUGAAGAUGCUACGUCCAAUUUGUUAGACGAAAAGACCCCGUUGAGCUUUACUGGGGCACUUACGCGGCCCCGGCCUUACCAGCAAGGAUGACCAUGCCUAGGGACCGGCCGAAUUUAAAUGGGCGGCUUAGACCAUGUGGCAGCCCCCCCCGUCGGGGCAGAUGAAACCCCACUCCCCCAUGUCAAAGGGGCUAACCCCCCCCCUUGGAGGGGGGGGGACAACGUAAGUAGGACAGUUUGGUUGGGGCGACCGCCUUUUAGAGAGUAACGAAGGUGCGCUUAAGGUGCGCCAUUAAUGACUGAAGCCUGACUGCGAGGGGGACACCCCGAGCAGACACCCCCAAGCCCGCCCGCCCUAGCUUCAGCUAGGCCAGGAGGCGAUGGGGUGGGCCAUAGUGACCCGUUAAUUUGGAGUGGAAUAGUUAACGAUCAACGAAUAAAAGUUACCACGGGGAUAACAGCGUAAUAUCGUUAGAGAGUUCACAUCGACGACGAUGUUGCGACCUCGNAUGUUGAAUUGCGGCAUCCUGGGGUGCAGCCGCUCCCAGUUGGGUCCCUGGUUCGGAAAA